ACCAGCUACAAAAUUCUGGCUCAACACCAAUAAGGCUACAGUUGAGAGGCUGCCUCAAUGGUUCUUCAGCUUCUGAAAUCAGAUAGAAUGAAGUACUUUAUCAGGAAGAAUUUGGCUCCGUACUGCUGUAAGCAUGAAGAAUCAGUCUUCACAUCAUCUACCUGAGGAAAUAAGUGUCAUCAACUGUUUUUCCAAUAAUGUGUAUAUCUGGGUUGUAAAACCAUUCUGAGAAGGGCUCUGAACUCAACUCAACCUAAUUCACUUGUGAGUAUUUAAAUUCAGAGGAACUCCUGACUCUAACACAUCCUCUAUUGCUGCAGGAAUUGAAAGUAAUAUAUUCUCAGGCGACCAAAAC
This 355-nucleotide long non-coding RNA is filed under the name Cyanistes caeruleus (blue tit). RNAcentral's name for it is "lncRNA (ENSCCEG00000000299.1)". Lineage: Eukaryota; Metazoa; Chordata; Aves; Passeriformes; Paridae. The record is from RNAcentral.